CAUUAGCUGUCAGAAUUCAGUGACGGGGAGGAAGUGCUCACUGGGAUAAAAUGAGAGCUGGUGAUGAUGGAACUGCCUUACAGGUAGGAAGUAAACACAGGAUUUACAGCUCUAAAGAAGCCCCCGCCUUUCUCAUUACCAACAGUUUGGGGGCCAUGAGAGAAGACAUCACAAGAUGGAGCC
Molecule: long non-coding RNA, 183 nt
Organism: Tachyglossus aculeatus (Australian echidna)
Lineage: Eukaryota; Metazoa; Chordata; Mammalia; Monotremata; Tachyglossidae
Exons: 3
Source: RefSeq, a predicted model, not a curated record